UGGGGAAUAUUGCACAAUGGGCGCAAGCCUGAUGCAGCCAUGCCGCGUGUAUGAAGAAGGCCUUCGGGUUGUAAAGUACUUUCAGCGGGGAGGAAGGUGUUGAGGCUAAUAACCUCAGCAAUUGACGUUACCCGCAGAAGAAGCACCGGCUAACUCCGUGCCAGCAGCCGCGGUAAUACGGAGGGUGCAAGCGUUAAUCGGAAUUACUGGGCGUAAAGCGCACACAGGCGGUCUGUCAAGUCGGAUGUGAAAUCCCCGGGCUCAACCUGGGAACUGCAUUCGAAACUGGCAGGCUAGAGUCUUGUAGAGGGGGGUAGAAUUCCAGGUGUAGCGGUGAAAUGCGUAGAGAUCUGGAGGAAUACCGGUGGCGAAGGCGGCCCCCUGGACAAAGACUGACGCUCAGGUGCGAAAGCGUGGGGAGCAAACA
RNAcentral lists this ribosomal RNA (427 nucleotides) under uncultured bacterium. Its description in RNAcentral is "partial 16S ribosomal RNA". It matches the Rfam family "Bacterial small subunit ribosomal RNA", at positions 355 to 774 of the family's 1533-position model. The record is from RNAcentral.